GACGAACGCUGGCGGCGUGCUUAACACAUGCAAGUCGAACGGAAAGGCCCUGCUUUUGUGGGGUGCUCGAGUGGCGAACGGGUGAGUAACACGUGAGUAACCUGCCCUUGACUUUGGGAUAACUUCAGGAAACUGGGGCUAAUACCGGAUAGGAGCUCCUGCUGCAUGGUGGGGGUUGGAAAGUUUCGGCGGUUGGGGAUGGACUCGCGGCUUAUCAGCUUGUUGGUGGGGUAGUGGCUUACCAAGGCUUUGACGGGUAGCCGGCCUGGGAGGGUGACCGGCGACAUUGGGACUGAGAUACGGCGCAGACGGCUACGUGAGGCAGCGGGGGGGAAUAUUACGCAACGAGCGGGAGCGAGUGACAGCAGCGUCGGGUUCGUGAUGACGGCUUACGGGGGAUGAACCGCUUUCGACGGAAACGAGGCGUGAGUGACGGUAACGAGUAAGAAAGCACCGGCUAACUACGUG
This 468-nucleotide ribosomal RNA is filed under the name uncultured bacterium. RNAcentral's name for it is "partial 16S ribosomal RNA". It matches the Rfam family "Bacterial small subunit ribosomal RNA", at positions 28 to 507 of the family's 1533-position model. The record is from RNAcentral.